GAGUGAUUUCUUCAGUGCUGCCAUUCCAGUGAAUAUUGCAGUAGAAUCUCCUUCCAUUUUAGUCACCGUGCUGGAGUAAGUUCUCUGGUUGUGUCUCCUGUCAUCAAGUGGCACCCCAUCCAGAUGUCUGCAAGGAGGAGAUCUCCUUUGACCUGGACAGUUUGGCUUCAUCUUGGAUACCUUUUGACUUCAAAGAUUUAAUCGUGAUCACCAGUCAGAUCUCUAUGUCAUGGGCUUCAAAUCACUAGCAGGGAGACUGCUACAAUUUCAGCUGCAACAUUUGAUGUAUAAAUCCCUUAUCCCAUCUGUUCGCUUAAUCCAGGAUUCUGAAACACGUUCAGGGAACAGAAAAGGUUCCUGUCCUGCUGUCUGGGGGAGAGUUUUGGUAGCCUGCCCGGCCAACCCUAGCCCAGAGUACUCCCAGGUGUGGGAACAAGGCUGCCCACCAUCGCAUUGGCAUCAACAUAACUGAUAGCUCUCAACAUGCUGCAUCAGCGAAAGCACACAGACAAAUGAGGCUGGCCAUGGAGUCACACCAGCCUCAGCAGGACCUGUACAGAUCAGCUGUGAUCACCAGGGUUGCACAACCUUCCACAAGUGAGAAGUGGACUCUGGACAGCGAGAUAUGCAUUACAAGAUAAAGCUGUCCUGCUAUGCCACAGCAGUUGAAGAGUCUGAGCAUGCCUCAGUGGCCCUGCGCUCCCAGCACACAAAGCCAUCUGCAGCCACCAGUCAUUUGGAGCAGCCUCUCACAUGCUGGCUUUCCUACAGGGAGUUUCUCACAGCAGGAUCAGCCGCCCUUCCAGCACAUCACAGGUGUUCUCCACAUGGCAUGAGCAGGCUCACCUCUGCAGUUGUGCCCGACUGAGCAGUGCCAGCAAAUAGAGGAGCGCGGUGCCAGACUCAUACAGAGUGGUACGGGGUCAAGGCAAGGCUUUUUGCUGGGAACAGGGUGUGUGCGGGCUGAAAAGCACUGAGGAGGAACUGAGGCCAUGGCUGAUCCUGGGGGGUGCGCAGAUCAGCUCUGCAGGCGAGGUUAGUGCCUUUGCUCCUCUGUCAUCACCAGUCCCUGAGAGCAAUCACCACCCACCAACAGUUCCUCAAGAUAAGACCGAGCCAGCUGGGAGAAGAAAUCCUUUGAUAUUUCCCUGCCUCGCUGACUGCGUUUUUCACAGCUCACAUCUCAGAGAGGACCAGCAGAGAUGACUGGGCACGUAAGAAUAACACUGGAGUGGUAUGCAAGGAAGGUGCUAAUCUUCUGCCAUGUGUGUAGGGCCUGGGCAGAAUGAGGCAGAGCGCAGUGCUGGAGUCUCCCUGAUCCUCCCAUGGAUAUCAGCAGCUGCCACACCUGGAGUCUGCAGCAAAGCUCCUUCCUCCAGAGGCCAAGAGCUGAGCCUACUGUUUCCAGCAAGGAAUCUUACGAUCUAUUUAUUCUCAAGAUUAAAUUUCCCUGUCCAGAACAUGUAUCAAAAAAGUCCUCCCAAACACAGAACGUGCUCAGAGAGAAGCCUGCGCUUGCUGGGGGACUUGCUGGUGGGGCAGUGCUGUGUGGAAGGGCUGUGCUCACACCAUGAGAUGAGGCCAUCUAACAGAUGAAGCAUGCAGGAUUUGCACUGACCGACGCCUGCACGGCUUCAGAGCUGUUUAUGGAUGUAAGGCUUGUCGUGGCUCUUCUCCCAGACACCUCGCUGCUGUCACAGCUCAGCGUUUGCCAUAUGUUUCAGCCCAGUGCUCGAAGCCUAAUAAAAAUGUCUAGCUGUAAAUCACCAGAGGUGUAGGCUGUGACCCUCUUUACUCCUACCUCUUCCACCACCUCUCAGCCACCCUUUUCCAGAUACUGGAAGCAAUAUAGCAAGAGUGAUUCUCCCAUCGGCCUUCUGCCAGAGCAGUGAUGCCAGAACACAGCUGUUUGCAAUUGCAUGGGGAAAGCUGUGCUGGGCUGAAAUGCAAAAUGAGGCCAAUGUGUCCCCACGGUCGCUUCUUCAGGAUACUUCUUUGUCCCACUUGGAGACAGAAGCUCCUGCUUAAGUAACCCUGGGGACUUGGAUCAGACAUCAUUAAAAGCAGUGGGGCAGCCAGCCCAUGGGGAGGCAGUGGCAAAUGCGGUGCGAAUGAUCAUGUCCUGCAUGGGACAGACCAGUGCCAAUUUUGAGAGCUAUUGAAGGAAGAAACUGCUCCAAGCAGAUUACCAAGGUGACAACGAGUGCAGCUGUGGAUUUACUCAGCUAAUCAGGAAACACUUCCUUGCUGCAGAGUGGGGAAACUGAACUGUGCUGCUGAACAGGUGAUGUGCAAUCCUCCACUGUCUGUCUGCAUCGCCACAAGCAGGGCUGUGCCCUGAGAUUGCAUUGCUCUUGCAUGCCUUGCACUGCUCUACCUGCCCCUGCUUCAGGGAGGGAAGGAGCAGAGCCUGCCAGCACUUCUGCAGCAAAAAGCGGUGCACUCUCUGGCUGAUAAUUUCCCUACUGCUGUUGAUUUGUGUCCUGGGCUAUUGUUUUCUAUAAAAUGAGGUAUUGAGCUGCUUCCGAAUCAUUUUUAUGCUGUGUGUUUGACUCUUUCAGGAAGCCAGCCCUCCUAAGAGUCAUUAGUACAGGGUAAAGCCUCUCUGCCACCACAGCCUGCUGCAGUUAAGUCAGAGAGAAACACUACUUAUUUCCUUGGCGUGAAACAAAUUCCUUGUGACGGAGCAGCUGAUGAAUUCAGGGGUUUAUCAAGAUCAGAGUGAAGGUUUGGGGGGGAUAUAAGUAUCUUUGAAGUUGCAGUGUAACAUGUCUGCAAAGCUCAGUGUUUAAAGUGAGACGCUGUGUGCAGUCCUUAGAUCCUCUUGUGCUGGAGAUGUUGUCAGUCCAAGUAGCACUUGAUGUAAGUGGUACGUUCUUGUGGCUCACUGCAGCAGAAGCAGGAGACUCUGCUUCUCUUGCUAUGUGUUAUUUGAACAGUCAUCAUCUCAAUAUGAAGGGCAACUUCCCCACUCCACUUUCCCUGCCUAUCUCUCUUGAAAUCUUGUAGCCCUCAGUCAUCAUGCUCCAGUCUUCCUUGGGUGAGGAUACAUAGAAGGGAUUUGUUUCUACAGGGGAGAUGGAGUGGAGGAAAAGUUGAACAGCAUGGAUAAGUCAGGGCUCUGGACAGAUGGUUGGAUGUGAUACUGCUCCCGUUCUAGUUGGCUCUGAAAUAGUAGAGGGGCUUAGUAAGGAGGGUGAGAAAUGCCUGCACAUCAUUAUUUUUCAGUAAUUCUCCUAUAACUUCAUGCGUGGAGACUUUUGGGUCUCUCUCACUCUACUGUGGAGGUGGAACAUGCUCUCACAAAUCCUAAAAUGAGUGUGCUAUCAGCUGAAAUUGGGAGGAGAGAUGUAGUUGUGGUAAUUUAGAGUUGUGAUAUUAUUUAGAGUUUCUGGACAGAAGAAUAGGGUUAGCCCAUUCUCUGGGUGCAGGUAUUGCAGAAACAAACACUGUGCUGUAAGCUUAACAUGUUUGAAGCUUAACCUGUGCCCCUGUGAGACGUCUCUACAGUGAAUCUGUCAGUUUUCAGAAGCAAAAUAUCUUGUCCAUCAACAGCUAGGGGUGAAUUUUCACACAUUUCUCUUAAUUCUCCCCAAAAUUGUUUUAAUUACCUUGAAGAUAUUGUCCAUUUCUUCAGACCAGUAUACAUAGAUUUAUAGGAAUUUCUGAGUGAGGAUUGUCCUUACGAACCUGUGGGGUCCUGACGUUUGAGCACCAUUCCUGUAACUGGCAGAGUGGUGAUGUUUUGUGCUGGGAUGUGAUUUAUGCAGAGAUCGGUGUCUCAUUUCUGAAUCUGUUUGGGCAUAGAAGCUCUUUCCAAAGAAGGUCUAGUUGCUGAAGAGAUCAGUGAGGUUUAUAUUUGGAGCAGUGCCUCGGGAACUGAUGGGGAUCGGCAGAGCUUUGCAGGAAAAUCUGCCCACUACCCGAUCGCAUUUGUCUGCCUUUAGCAAAAGCUAUCAACUUAAUGCUAAUUUAAAUUGUCACUUAGGCAUCUGUAGGUAUAAUUACAUAAAGCACUGUGCAUUAAAUUGAUUCCAAAUCCACGUUUGGAUGUACAGCCUUCAGAAAGACUACAUAUGGUAGCCUAUUUCCAACAUACGUUGGCCAUUGAAGAUCCAAAAUCAUUACACACCCUCUUUUUUUUUUUUUUCUUUCUUUUUUUUUUGCUCGAAAAAGCAACACUCUAAAUUUACACCAGGUUAGUAAUACUUUGGUAACAGUUCAGCUCCUACAGUGUCCCAUCAGUGUGUUUGGGAGGGGCUGCCCUCAUUUUGCUGACAGAUCCCAACUCUGCGGAUUACAUGAGUAAAUUGUGCCGGAUACAUGAAAGCUCACAAACGAAUUCAAACAGAAGCUCCUUAAAUCUUUGUGUUACAUGCUGUAAUUAAUCAUUGCUGCUAUGUAACACCUGGAGCCCAGCAGGACACCAAAUGCAAAGCAGGUCAGCCAGAGCCAGCCUAAAACUUGUGUGGAAAGCAAAGCCAGAAGGGAAUUCUUACCUGUCUGUGCCUUGCUCCUAUAUUUCCAGAGUUGUGUUCUUAUUUUAUCAUGCAAAGUGCAAUUUUAGAAGUACAACUUGAAAGAGAAACAAUUUCAGUCACCCAAAGCUCCCAGAGUGGAUCUGGUCUGAGCGUGUCCCGUGAGGGCAGCCCUCCUGUCCCUCACUGAGGAGUCAGCAGUCAUGUUGUACAGGGAGAUUCACGUGGGGUGCUCUGCUGCUGCUGAGGUAGUUUGCAAAAGGGAGAUAGUAGUUGUCCUUGACAACUCUGCAAAUUUGUCCUUGAAAAAAAUGCUAAUUCCUAGUUCCGGCUCUCAUUGCAACUCCCGCAGCACUCGGUACAUUUUUUGUUUUCCAUUUAAAAGCCUUUGCAGGUCAUCUCCCCUUGUUUCCAAACAUCCCAGCCACCCUGCAGUUCCCCAGGAGGUUCUGCAGCUGAGUGCAGCAUGUCAGGGAUGUCCCAGGGCAAACAGGAAGGGACAGAGCCUCAGAGGAUCCCUAAACAUGAGCGAUGGAUGCACAGAGCCCACCAAAUGGGAGACAUGUCAGAUUCACUGCCUGUCACUUUUCUCUCUUCAGUAUCUCCUUUAGAUAUGUGUUACUGUCCUUAAAGCCCCUUAAGGCUUUAAGAUUCGCCUGAAUUUGCUUGCCAAAGUCCUGCUUCUGAGAUGUCUCUUCUUAAUUUCCUCACAGUCCUGUGGGUUUCACAGCCUAAUAUAUUUUUAAAUCCCUCCUUUGACAUUUGACACUGUUUCACUGUAAGUUCUCCUCCCAAAUCCCAGCUCCUCAGGGGUGAAGAUGCUCUGGGUUUGUGGGUGAGACAUCAGGUAUUGGUGGCUGUUAGUGAAUGGCUCUUCAGAGAUGUUGUCAGAUGGCUCUGCCUCUCUCGCUCUCUUUUUGUAGCCCAGUCUUGUUUUACUUGGAUAUUUUUGCUCACCUUUCCCUUGUCUUUUGGGGUCCUUCUUAGAAUUUGGAUAUUUCAUUGUUUCACUCUGUUUAUAAGCAAAAAGGCAGCUAUCACUUGGAGUUCAGCCCUGUGUAGUCAGGAGAAGCAGCAGCUGGUGCUGGAGGAGGCCUCCUGAGAGGCUGAAAGGAGAGAUGGGCCUCCACAGCUGACUUUUGGCUGCUCUUUACACUGAUGGGCUUUGGUACCAACAUGGAGACAACUCUUGGGUGACACCAAGCUGUGUGAUGUGGUCAACAUGUCUGAGGGAUGGGAUGCCAUCCGGAGAGACCUAGACAGGUUCGAGCACUGAGCCCAGGUGAACCUCAUGAGGUUCAACGAAGCGUAGUGACCCUCUGCUCUGCUCUGGAGUACUGCAUCCAGAUAUGGAGUCUUCAGUACAGGAGAAACAUGGAGCUGUUGGAGCACGUCCAAAGGAGGGCCACAAAAAUGAUCCAAGGGUUGGAGCAUCUCCCCUGUGAGACAGGCUGAGAGAGCUGGGGCUGUUCAGCCUGGAGAAGAGAAUGCUCCAGGGAGACCUGAGAGCAGCCUUUCAGAAGCUAUAAGAAAGAAGGGCACAGACUUUUUAGCAGAUUCUGUUGUGAAAGGACAAGGGGAAAUGGUUUCAAACUAAAAGAAAGGAGAUUUAGAUUGGAUAUAAGGAAGUUUUUACAGUAAGGGUGGUGAAUCAUUGGAGCAGGUGGCCCAGAGCGGAGGUGGAAGCCCUGUCCUUGGAGACAUUCAAGAUCAGGCUGGACGGGACUCUGAGCAACAAGGUUUAGCUGUAGGUGCCCCUGUUCAUUGCAGGGGGUUGUAUUAGAUGGCCUUUAAGGGUCUCUUCCGACUCAAAGGAUUCCAUGAUUCUUACAGGGUUUCCUUGUGAGACAUCCCUUUCUGCCCAGUCUUUCUCUGCUGAUGUUGUUCCAUUGGCAUGGCAGCAGGUGACGUGAUCCAGGUGCUCUUCACUGAAUGGCCAGUCCAAUGCUAUGGUGCUACCAUCAUCUGAGUUUUGUCCUUUCUCUGAUACUGCUGUGCAGAGCAACACACGGGUGCAACGCGUGGCAGGGAGAGGGUUUCAUCUGUUGGCAUGGUUUGA
Molecule: long non-coding RNA, 6537 nt
Organism: Gallus gallus (chicken)
Lineage: Eukaryota; Metazoa; Chordata; Aves; Galliformes; Phasianidae
Exons: 17
Source: RefSeq, a predicted model, not a curated record